This 673-nucleotide ribosomal RNA is filed under the name uncultured Gammaproteobacteria bacterium. RNAcentral describes it as "bacterial SSU rRNA". It matches the Rfam family "Bacterial small subunit ribosomal RNA", at positions 87 to 793 of the family's 1533-position model. The record is from RNAcentral. Lineage: Bacteria; Pseudomonadati; Pseudomonadota; Gammaproteobacteria.
UGAGUAGAGUGGCGGACGGGUGAGUAACGCGUGGGAAUCUACCCAGUAGUGGGGGACAACUACCGGAAACGGUAGCUAAUACCGCAUACGCCCUAUGGGGGAAAGGCUUCGGCCGCUAUUGGAUGAGCCCGCGUCAGAUUAGCUAGUUGGUAGGGUAAAGGCCUACCAAGGCAACGAUCUGUAGCUGGUCUGAGAGGACGAACAGCCACACUGGGACUGAGACACGGCCCAGACUCCUACGGGAGGCAGCAGUGGGGAAUAUUGGACAAUGGGCGAAAGCCUGAUCCAGCAAUGCCGCGUGUGUGAAGAAGGCCUGCGGGUUGUAAAGCACUUUCUGUUGGGAAGAUGAUGACGAUACCAACAGAAGAAGCACCGGCUAAAUCCGUGCCAGCAGCCGCGGUAAUACGGAUGGUGCGAGCGUUAAUCGGAAUUACUGGGCGUAAAGCGCGCGUAGGCGGCUAAGUCAGUCAGAAGUGAAAGCCCCGGGCUCAACCUGGGAAUUGCUUUUGAUACUGCUUAGCUAGAGUUUGGUAGAGGAUAGUGGAAUUCCAGGUGUAGCGGUGAAAUGCGUAGAUAUCUGGAGGAACAUCAGUGGCGAAGGCGACUGUCUGGACCAAAACUGACGCUGAGGUGCGAAAGCGUGGGUAGCAAACAGGAUUAGAUACCCUGGUAG